This 906-nucleotide long non-coding RNA is filed under the name Elaeis guineensis (African oil palm). RNAcentral describes it as "long non-coding RNA (EGUI_LNC050125)". The record is from RNAcentral. Lineage: Eukaryota; Viridiplantae; Streptophyta; Magnoliopsida; Arecales; Arecaceae.
UAUAUCAGGAUCAGAAGAGGAGAGAGUUUCUCAAUUUGAUAUAGGAGAGAAUGAUAGUGGCUGAUUAUGAAGCAAAGUUUGUUGAGCUGUCCCACUUUGGUCCAGCAUUUGUUGUGGAUGAAAAAAAAAUGUCGGUUGUUUCAGGAUGGGCUGUGCCUUAAGAUUAAGGCAAAAAUAAAAAUGCAUAACCAUGGUAAUUUUGCAAAGUUGGUUGUAGGAACUAUUAGGGCAGAGAAAAUUGAGAAGAAAUUUUAUAAUCAUAAGCAGAAAAGGGGUAAGAGAAGUGUGCAGAACUUUUUCCUAGAUACAUAAGGAAGUCAGUCAUCAAAGAAGAUUAAAGUAUUUAGACAGCCUAAUCAGAACUUCAGAGCAUCAAUAGAGUUGGGCAUAGGUUCUUUUGCUUUAACUAGUCCAAAACAAAGGAGAAUAUAGAAUAGAGGGUUGUGCCACAAUCAGCAGAAAGUUGGGUGAUAGAAAGAAGGGAGCAUCAGGAUAAUUUUAGUAGGGAUGCCAGUCCAGUUGCCACUUCACUAAACCAAGUCCCUUAAUGUGGUAUUUAUGAAAAGUUCCAUGGUGGAGAAUGUAGAAGUGGAUCUAGAAGAUGUUUCAAGUAUGGUCAAAGAGGUCAUCAAAGGAAGGACUGUCCUAACAAAGCUUCGGCUAGGAGUCUCCCACCAAAGUCAAAUGCUCCACGAAGAUUUCAGACUAGAGGUGAUAAUUAUAUUACUGAUGUACAAGCAAGGUGAGGAUUGGUACCAAUAGGCAGGGUGAUAUACCAGUAAGAUUGAGCACUGAAUCAUAAGUUGUGACAGGAGGUAUGGGUUACUCUUAAUGGGGUGUUAGGUAUGACAUCUAUAACUGAGUGGAUGAUUAUAUCUCCGAUUUCAGCAAAUAAGAUUGGACCGA